This is a long non-coding RNA of Peromyscus maniculatus bairdii (prairie deer mouse), 2534 nucleotides long. RefSeq lists it as uncharacterized. The record is from RefSeq and is a predicted model, not a curated record. NCBI's taxonomy places the organism in Eukaryota, Metazoa, Chordata, Mammalia, Rodentia, Cricetidae.
CUAAAGAGCCGGGGUUCUUUUUGAAAUUUUUUCCCGCGAGAACUCGCAUUCCUUACGAGAUGUCUUGUCCAAUCCGCGCCUCCGACACAAACAAGAGGAGCGACUCGCAGCGACUGCGCAGGUAGUGGGAUCAUUUCUAUACUGUUCACUGUGUCACCGUUAGUGACGGUACUGGGCCCCAGAUAAUUCAAGAAGGAUUUGUUGAAUCCAUGAAGGAUACUUGUGAUACUUUCUCCAACAACUUUGCUUAGUCAAGUCUACAAAGGACCCUUUCCAGUGAGACACAUCCCAGAAGAGGAAUUUGGCUGCUGGAAGACAAAAAGCUGACUCCUUGCAUUUGGUGCUCAUAAAUGUUAGCCCUGGAUUGCUGGGUUCAAGUUAUCCUCCUGUCUCAGACAUCCAAGCUGCUGUAGCCAGGACUACAGGUGUGCACCACCGUGCUUCCCUACCUCUUUCCUUUACACCAGGCAUUCUAUUACAGCAAUAAAGAGUUGUGUAAGAAGCUGAUGCUACAUACAUGUGUAUAAAACAAAACAAAAACUCUCAGCUGUUUGUUCCCACAACUGCCUUCCUUAGACUCCAAUCACUCACUACAUUUGGUCAUCAUGGAUCUGAACCAUUCCUGAAUUGAGAAUAUCACUUAAGAAAAUUAUUUUUGUUGGAGUACAGGGAGGGAAAGGAGGGAAAUCUUGUUUUAUUCUUCAGGCCCAGUUCUUGGCUUUAAAAGUUCAGAAGCUAAGAAAUCAAUGUAUUCAUCACUAUUUGCAGUUUUUGCUUUUAGAUAUGCCCUUCCUGUGAGCAGUAAGUAACUGUAAAAGAAAACAUGGCAUGGCAAUGUGGUAUUUUCUGUAUCUUCCUGUCUGGAGAUUUUGUGUAAAAAUGGGUUAUUAUCUCCAGUUUAGUGGAUGUGCUCCUUGGGGAGCUCUUGGUACUGUCUCCCAAGUGUUACCUGUUUGUACCUUGCGGUAGUCAGUCCUUGUUCACAGCAUUCUUCCUCUUCAUCUUGUUCUUUCUCUCUCUCUUUUGAGACUCUCCUACUAUGUAUUCUUGGACAAAAGGACAGAGAGCAAGUACUUGGAAUUGGCUUUUAAAGGACCUUUUUGUUUCCGAUGAGAAUCAAUGAUAGCUGCACUUGAGAUUUUUCAGGACCCUGGUAAUGACAUGAAAUGCUCUCCCACAGAUCUCGCAUGGCUGGAAGAAUCAGUGGCAGUCUUGAAUUCAGAGUGCCUUCUCUUAGAGGUAUUCUUCUGAAACUGGUAUUUUGAUGAUGCAUUCAGUUUACUAAUUAGAGCUCAUAACUUCUUAACUGUAAAUCAGUUGCAGAUUUGGCACAUGGCAACUCUAUUGCUUCUGAGAGGCUUCCAUUAGAAAGCCAACAGUUUUUUUUUAUAACUAUGAUCCUAGGGGCCCUACGGUGUUCGUAACAAUCUUUUAUUUAAGAUAGGGGAGGUAUUCUGUGCAUCUUUCACUAGUAGAAACACAGAAGAUAAUUGUCUUGUUUAUAUAACAGCAUAAACAAUUAACUCAGAGUCUGGGACUAAUUCAACUAACUCUCAGAGUGUGAGUUGUUGCUGAGAUGUACAGGAAAUGAAAAAAAUUCUUUUAUUUCUGUUUUUUUAAGAUUUGUUUUUUCCGUUGUGUAUAUGUCUCUGCACAUACGGAUGAGUGCAGGUGCCUAUGGAGGCCAGCAGAGGGCAUCAGGUGCCUACGGAGGCCAGCAGAGGGCAUCAGGUGCCCUGGAUCUGGAGUUGCAGGCAGUUAGGAACCACCCUGUAGGGAGAUAAAUUCAGGUCCUCUAGAAGAGCUGCAAGCACCCUUAACCACCGAGCCAUCCUUACCCCCCCCCCCCAAAUCUUUUCUUUAAGAGACAUAACAUGCUGUAAAAAAAAUUUAACCAUUUAUAUGACAAGGACUUAUAUCCAGAAUAAACAAAGAACUCUUGUGGUUCACAAUAGGAAUGCAAACAACCAAGUUUAAAAAUGAGCAAAAGAUGCAGACAAAUUUAGUCAGUAAGUACAUGAAAAGGCAUACAAGAAAACUGCCCUGAGAUACCACUUUGCAGCCACUAGAGUGGCUAAAAUUAAAAAGACUGUUAAUACCAAAUGCUAGCAGUGAAAAUGUCCAUCAACACAUGAGCAGAUAAGCUGGUUUUACAAUGUGUGUGCAAUCAGAUUCGAUUUAGUAGAACAAUAAAAUGGAAUGAAGCAACAGCAUGGCUGGAUCUCAAAAGAAUCAUGCCAAAUAAAACAGCCAGGCAAAAACGAGUACAUAUUGUACAUUCCUUUCAUGUAACAUGCUAAAAGAACAGAGCCAUCUCUAGUGAUUGAAAGCAUACCAGUGGGUGCCUGAGGAUGGGUUUGGGAAGUUAAGAGGGUGAGGCAGGGUGGGGACACAAAGACAAUUUUCCAUGUGUUGGGUAUCUGUGAUGAUGGUUUCAUGUUGCCUAGACAUGUCAAAACUCAUCAAACUGUCCUUAUUGUAUGUAGUUCCCCAUAUGUCACUUAUAACUCAAUAAAGCUAUUCUUAAAAGAGAA